This 451-nucleotide ribosomal RNA is filed under the name uncultured bacterium. RNAcentral's name for it is "bacterial SSU rRNA". It matches the Rfam family "Bacterial small subunit ribosomal RNA", at positions 65 to 507 of the family's 1533-position model. The record is from RNAcentral.
GGCGGUAACAUUUCUAGCUUGCUAGAAGAUGACGAGCGGCGGACGGGUGAGUAACGCGUAGAAAUCUACCUAGUAGUGGGGGAUAGCCCAGAGAAAUUUGGAUUAAUACCGCAUACGCCCUACGGGGGAAANCGGGGGAUCUUCGGACCUCGUGCUAUUAGAUGAGUCUGCGUCGGAUUAGCUUGUUGGUGAGGUAAUGGCUCACCAAGGCGACGAUCCGUAGCUGGUCUGAGAGGAUGACCAGCCACACUGGAACUGAGACACGGUCCAGACUCCUACGGGAGGCAGCAGUGGGGAAUAUUGCACAAUGGGCGCAAGCCUGAUGCAGCCAUGCCGCGUGUGUGAAGAAGGCCUUAGGGUUGUAAAGCACUUUCAGCAGUGAGGAAAGGGGUGUCGUUAAUAGCGCCAUCCUGUGACGUUAACUGCAGAAGAAGGACCGGCUAACUCCGUG